Molecule: ribosomal RNA, 214 nt
Filed under: Clostridium botulinum
Lineage: Bacteria; Bacillati; Bacillota; Clostridia; Eubacteriales; Clostridiaceae
Description: partial 23S ribosomal RNA
Rfam family: Bacterial large subunit ribosomal RNA
Source: RNAcentral
CCUGGGGAACUGAAACAUCUAAGUACCCAGAGGAAGAGAAAGAAAAUUCGAUUCCCUAAGUAGCGGCGAGCGAAAGGGGAAGAGCCCAAACCAGGAACUUGUUCCUGGGGUUGCGGAUAGAUCAUAACGCUUUGAUUUCUUUAGUUGAAGAGAACUGGAAAGUUCCGUCGUAGAAGGUAAUAACCCUGUAGGCGAAAAGGAAAGAAAAGUAGAU